UGGGGAAUCUUGGACAAUGGGGGCAAGCCUGAUGCAGCAAUGCCGCGUGAGUGAAGACGGCCUUAGGGUUGUAAAACUCUUUCGCUAGGGAAGAUAAUGACGGUACCUAGUAAAGAAGUCCCGGCUAACUCCGUGCCAGCAGCCGCGGUAAUACGGAGGGGGCUAGCGUUGUUCGGAAUUACUGGGCGUAAAGCGCGCGUAGGCGGACUGAUCAGUCAGGGGUGAAAUCCCGGGGCUCAACCCCGGAACUGCCUUUGAUACUGUCAGUCUUGAGUCCGGAAGAGGCGAGUGGAAUACCGAGUGUAGAGGUGAAAUUCGUAGAUAUUCGGUGGAAACACCAGUGGCGAAGGCGACUCGCUGGUCCGGUACUGACGCUGAGGUGCGAAAAGCGUGGGGAGCAAACAGGAUUAGAUACCCUGGUAGUCCACGCCGUAAAACGAUGAGUGCUAGUCGUCGGCAGGCAUGCCUGUCGGUGACGCAGCUAACGGAUUAAGCAUUCCGCCUGGGAGUACGGUCGCAAGAUUAAAACUCAAAUGAAUUGACGG
Molecule: ribosomal RNA, 545 nt
Filed under: uncultured bacterium
Lineage: Bacteria
Description: bacterial SSU rRNA
Rfam family: Bacterial small subunit ribosomal RNA
Source: RNAcentral